UACGUAGGUCCCGAGCGUUAUCCGGAUUUAUUGGGCGUAAAGCGAGCGCAGGCGGUUAGAUAAGUCUGAAGUUAAAGGCUGUGGCUUAACCAUAGUACGCUUUGGAAACUGUUUAACUUGAGUGCAGAAGGGGAGAGUGGAAUUCCAUGUGUAGCGGUGAAAUGCGUAGAUAUAUGGAGGAACACCGGUGGCGAAAGCGGCUCUCUGGUCUGUAACUGACGCUGAGGCUCGAAAGCGUGGGGAGCAAACAGGAUUA
This 256-nucleotide ribosomal RNA is filed under the name uncultured Streptococcaceae bacterium. RNAcentral's name for it is "partial 16S ribosomal RNA". It matches the Rfam family "Bacterial small subunit ribosomal RNA", at positions 524 to 780 of the family's 1533-position model. The record is from RNAcentral. Lineage: Bacteria; Bacillati; Bacillota; Bacilli; Lactobacillales; Streptococcaceae.